Non-coding RNA from Triticum urartu, 1022 nucleotides. The record is from RefSeq and is a predicted model, not a curated record. Lineage: Eukaryota; Viridiplantae; Streptophyta; Magnoliopsida; Poales; Poaceae.
GAGGGGGCGAAGCCACUCUUGGAGGUGGCCGCGGCUGCGUGUGUGUGGUGUGGGCAGUGGAGGAAGAGGCACCGCUGCCGGCGCGGAGUGAACCGCACCUUCCGCAAGAGGAGGCGAUGCGGGUGGUGUGUAGGUACCAAGCCGCCACAGUGACAGUGGCACGGGAUGUACCGUGGUGGAUGCUGAAGGCGACUUGCCGAAACUCUUUAAACUCCCUGACCUCCAAUGGCUGUCGUAGGCGACUCCUCGCGCUAAGAAACCAUGGGAGCCGCGACCGCUCGCACGACUCCGAUCCGGUGACUACCAGGUGAGGUGGCGCAAGACUGCUGGUUCGAGGCCGAGGAGGCCGUCGGGUAGCAGUACGGCAGCAUGAACUCUGGUCGGGGUCAGAGUCCAGCGACACAAUUCAAGGAGGGCGGGCCGUCCCGAGCCAAGGAGGCCCUCUGGUCGCAGUAGAAGCUGGAGGCGGAAACAAUGAGGGCCUCUGUGUCUUAGCCCCUGAUGGCCGGCGGAUGUCGCCCAUGGAGAAGAUGAUAAGGUAAAACGGCCGGAUGCAUGUGUGAACUUGGGGAAAGAGGGACCCGGACGCAAGUGAAAGACAGGGAGGACCAGGGAUUCUUCUUUGCCGGCGUUUGCAGAACUGACAGCAACGAGCAAAGAGAUAGAGACUCAUCAGAUGGAGAAGAUUACGCUGGAGAAGGUGGAGAAGGUGAGACCCACGCGGCAACUUUACACCCACAUGGCACGCUGGCUAGCUGUUUAUGUAGAAGGGAGACCCAUGUGAGGACCGUAUUUGGUCAAUAUUUUCAUGCACCGGACAGUAGCAAGGCACUUCUCAAGCUUGAAGACAGUACUGAUAAAAGACUGGGUGCAAUUUAAUCCGUGAGUAGUUUUAUCAAUAGUUAUAGUAUAUUAAGAUGUCGGUAUUAUAUGCAUUGUUUGAGUUGGCUAAACAUUUUUUUGCCCAAAAUUGCUAUGAAACUUGUAAAUGUAUUGGAUUGAAGCCUGCUAAGUAGAAUCAA